Molecule: ribosomal RNA, 253 nt
Filed under: uncultured bacterium
Lineage: Bacteria
Description: partial 16S ribosomal RNA
Rfam family: Bacterial small subunit ribosomal RNA
Source: RNAcentral
UACGUAGGGUGCAAGCGUUGUCCGGAAUUAUUGGGCGUAAAGAGCUCGUAGGCGGCUUGUCGCGUCGGCUGUGAAAACCUGGGGCUCAACCCCGGGCCUGCAGUCGAUACGGGCAAACUAGAGUAUUGCAGGGGAGACUGGAAUUCCUGGUGUAGCGGUGAAAUGCGCAGAUAUCAGGAGGAACACCGGUGGCGAAGGCGGGUCUCUGGGCCGAUACUGACGCUGAGGAGCGAAAGCGUGGGGAGCGAACAGG